This 253-nucleotide ribosomal RNA is filed under the name uncultured bacterium. RNAcentral describes it as "partial 16S ribosomal RNA". It matches the Rfam family "Bacterial small subunit ribosomal RNA", at positions 524 to 776 of the family's 1533-position model. The record is from RNAcentral.
UACGUAGGGUGCAAGCGUUAAUCGGAAUUACUGGGCGUAAAGCGUGCGCAGGCGGUUGUGCAAGACAGAUGUGAAAUCCCCGGGCUCAACCUGGGAACUGCAUUUGUGACUGCACGGCUGGAGUGCGGCAGAGGGGGAUGGAAUUCCGCGUGUAGCAGUGAAAUGCGUAGAGAUGUGGAGGAACACCGAUGGCGAAGGCAGCCCCCUGGGCUAACACUGACGCUCAUGCACGAAAGCGUGGGGAGCAAACAGG